UACGAAGGGGGCUAGCGUUGUUCGGAUUUACUGGGCGUAAAGCGCACGUAGGCGGAUCGAUCAGUCAGGGGUGAAAUCCUGGAGCUCAACUCCAGAACUGCCUUUGAUACUGAAGAUCUUGAGUUCGGGAGAGGUGAGUGGAACUGCGAGUGUAGAGGUGAAAUUCGUAGAUAUUCGCAAGAACACCAGUGGCGAAGGCGGCUCACUGGCCCGAUACUGACGCUGAGGCACGAAAGCCAGGGGAGCAAACGGG
Molecule: ribosomal RNA, 253 nt
Filed under: uncultured bacterium
Lineage: Bacteria
Description: partial 16S ribosomal RNA
Rfam family: Bacterial small subunit ribosomal RNA
Source: RNAcentral